RNAcentral lists this long non-coding RNA (483 nucleotides) under Carica papaya (papaya). Its description in RNAcentral is "long non-coding RNA (CPAP_LNC000711)". The record is from RNAcentral. Lineage: Eukaryota; Viridiplantae; Streptophyta; Magnoliopsida; Brassicales; Caricaceae.
AACAAAGUCAGCUAUAUCUCUUUACAUCUCGUUCCACCAAAAUCGGAGUCGUAUAUUUUGGUACAUCUUAGUGCUUUCAGGAUGCAUGGCGAACUUUGAGCCAUGGGCCUCUGUCAUAAUGUCCCUCUUUAACUCACUGUCACUUGGAACACACACCCUGUCUUGGAAUCUGAGCAACCCAUCGGUGGAGACUCAAAAUUUUGAGUUAACUCCCUAUUCUUCAUCUUUUUUUAGGGCAGCUAGGGUGGAAUGGGUGGACUGAGCUUCCCUUAUUCUUUGAAUUAACUCAGGCUAAACAGUCAGAUGGCCCAAACAUAUGACUCUCCUCAAGUUUUAAAGUCAUACCUAUUGUGCGGCCCCUAUUUGUCUGCUUUCUGAAACCAUUAAAUGGGUUAAUGUACCUGCACUUUUCAUGCUGAGUGCGUUGACUACCACUUUGCCCUUACCCGGGUGAUACAAGAUGUCGCAAUCAUAGUCCUUGAG